AGAGUUUGAUCAUGGCUCAGGACGAACGCUGGCGGCGUGCCUAACACAUGCAAGUCGAACGGUCUAAUGUUCAACACUGAAUGUUUACUACAGAGAACUUGGUAAAGCCGCGGACGCGACCGAAAGAGAGCGUCGAAGCGACAAACAAAGUGCCAACACAAGGUUGGGAAGUAGUAGUGAAAAAGAAUGUUUACUACAGAGAACUUGGUAAAGCCGCGGAUGCGACCAAUGAAGUGCCAACACCGAGGGCGAAGUUGGAAAGAAGUAGAGGAACAUUGAGUGUUGGACAUUAGAUAGUGGCGGACGGGUGAGUAACGCGUGGGUAACCUACCCAUAAGUGGGGGAUAACAGUUGGAAACGACUGCUAAUACCGCAUAAGCUGCGCAAGCAGUAAAGGAGGCCUCUGAAAAUGCUUCCGCUUAUGGAUGGGCCCGCGUCUGAUUAGCUAGUUGGGAGGGCAACGGCCUACCAAGGCAACGAUCAGUAGCCCGGCCUGAAAGGUUGAACCGGCACCCUGGGGACUGAGACACGGCCCCNUACUCCUACGGGAGGGCAUCAGUGGGGGAAUAUUGCGCAAUUGGGGGAAACCCUGACGCAGACGACCCCCCGGGAGGGAUGAAAGCC
Molecule: ribosomal RNA, 624 nt
Filed under: uncultured bacterium
Lineage: Bacteria
Description: bacterial SSU rRNA
Rfam family: Bacterial small subunit ribosomal RNA
Source: RNAcentral